Molecule: long non-coding RNA, 232 nt
Organism: Aptenodytes forsteri (emperor penguin)
Lineage: Eukaryota; Metazoa; Chordata; Aves; Sphenisciformes; Spheniscidae
Exons: 2
Source: RefSeq, a predicted model, not a curated record
CACUCGACGUGAGGAAGGAAAGUGUCCUGAGGAUGGGAGGGAAGCAGAAAAAGCUGAUCUCGAUCAAUGACAACCUGAAACAUCCCAUCCGAGAAGGAGGAGAAAUCAGAAGAUAUGAGUGUUCACUGGUUUAUGAAUCCAAGGUGGAGAGGAAAACAGACAUUAAAUUAACUGGGCAUAGUAUGAAGCUACUUAAGAUUAACAGGCUGGAAGAGAUCAAUACACGAUACAA